This 505-nucleotide ribosomal RNA is filed under the name uncultured bacterium. RNAcentral describes it as "partial 16S ribosomal RNA". It matches the Rfam family "Bacterial small subunit ribosomal RNA", at positions 28 to 507 of the family's 1533-position model. The record is from RNAcentral.
GACGAACGCUGGCGGCGUGCCUAAUACAUGCAAGUAGAACGCACAGUUUAUACCGUAGCUUGCUACACCAUGGACUGUGAGUUGCGAACGGGUGAGUAACGCGUAGGUAACCUGCCUGGUAGCGGGGGAUAACUAUUGGAAACGAUAGCUAAUACCGCAUAAUAUUAAUUAUUGCAUGAUAAUUAAUUGAAAGGUGCAAUUGCACCACUACCAGAUGGACCUGCGUUGUAUUAGCUAGUAGGUGAGGUAACGGCUCACCUAGGCGACGAUACAUAGCCGACCUGAGAGGGUGAUCGGCCACACUGGGACGGAGACACGGCCCAGACUCCUGCGGGAGGCAGCAGUAGGGAAUCUUCGGCAAUGGACGAAAGUCUGACCGAGCAACGCCGCGUGAGUGAAGAAGGUUUUCGGAUCGUAAAGCUCUGUUGUAAGAGAAGAACGGGUGUGAGAGUGGAAAGUUCACACUGUGACGGUAUCUUACCAGAAAGGGACGGCUAACUACGUG